This 65-nucleotide microRNA precursor is filed under the name Eisenia fetida (common brandling worm). Its description in RNAcentral is "Efe-Mir-193-P2c-v1_pre stem-loop". The record is from RNAcentral. Lineage: Eukaryota; Metazoa; Annelida; Clitellata; Crassiclitellata; Lumbricidae.
UGCGGAUUUCUUGGGGACUUGUUGGUAAUACUAUGAACACGAUAAUGCCCUUCGAAAUCCUCUAU